CUAGGGUUUCAAAAGUCUUCUUUUUGAAACAUAUUGUUAUAAGGUAUUGAAUCUUGAGAUCACAAACAAUACUUCAACAACCGUUCAGAACAGCCGCCUCAAACACAGAGAUUGGAGAAAUUUCACCAGUGAGUCAGAACUUAAUCGCCGGAGAGAUUGCCAGAAAACGGGCUGUUUACCGGCGAAAAUAGAGCGGUUUUCCGGUGGUAAUAGAGAGAGAAAAAGAAACAGAUGUAGGACAGUGGAUCUCCAAAAAACUGUCAUCUCCAGCGACGGUUAAACAGCCGGAGAUCGGAGGAACCGCGUCGUCUCUGCCAGUGAAUGUGACGGACUGGUUGAAGAUGAUAGCAGCGCCGGUUAACCGGAUGUGAUGAACAUGUGACGAACUGAUCAAUUUCUGAAGCGCAAUACAAGUGCGGAUGAAUCGGAUAACGUGGUUAGCGGCGUGAAACAACUACCAAUUUUUCUUCUUCUUCUUUUUGUGAAUGAUGAAAAGAGAGGAUUGAAAUCUACAAUGAAUAGAGCAAAUCGUGCUGAUAACAUGAUAUAAAACCACUGGGAAAUCUGUAUUGAAUCUUCCAUCUAUUAUUCCAUAUGAUACAAAAGUGACACAUCUAAAUAACAACAUACAAUAGUAUAUAUAACGUACGUAUGUUAACUGUCAAAACAGUUAUGAGAGGUUAAUUGCCAAGGCAGUUACAAGGGGUGUUUUGUAU
RNAcentral lists this long non-coding RNA (716 nucleotides) under Helianthus annuus (common sunflower). Its description in RNAcentral is "sRNA HanXRQr2_Chr04g0174971". The record is from RNAcentral. Lineage: Eukaryota; Viridiplantae; Streptophyta; Magnoliopsida; Asterales; Asteraceae.